GACCACAUGAUCAAUCCUUUAUGAAGAAAUUCCAGCAUAAUCAGUCUGCAAAUACCAUUCUAAUAAGACAAAAAGGCAGCUGCAAUGAUUCAUUCCUCUGAGGCUGGAAAUGUUUGCAGAAUUCAACACUUGCAGAGAGAGAAUCCUGAGAGGAGGAAGAUAGAAUAUGCAACUCUAGCAGUUUUUGUGGCCUAGACUGGAAAAUAUCUCUGGCAACAUUUGGUGGCGAAAGAAGGCAUCACUAUAACAGCAGACCUUUCUUCUCAUUUUUGUCUAUGAAAUUAAAUCUGAGGCCUAAUUAGAAAAACAGUUGGAAUGGAAACUAGUCCUGCAACAGCUGGCAUGAUGUUUUGAAAGGGCUCUAGAAACAAGCAAGACAGGCUUCGAGUAAGCUAAUGGCUUUACACAUCAAAAAGGCUGGAUUUCCUGUAUUUUGCUCUCUCUGGUCCUGAAUUAUCAUGGGUAGAGUGGAAUCAGUUGCCCAGAAACAUAUGACAGUGAG
This is a non-coding RNA of Sus scrofa (pig), 502 nucleotides long. NCBI's taxonomy places the organism in Eukaryota, Metazoa, Chordata, Mammalia, Artiodactyla, Suidae. The record is from RefSeq and is a predicted model, not a curated record.